AAAGAUUAAGCCAUGCAUGUACAAGUACAAACUUGAAUAAAGUUGAAACCGCAGACGGCUCAUUAAAUCAGUCAUAAAUAAUGAAAUAUCGAAAAAACAGUUACUUGGAUAACUGUGGAAAAUCCAGAGCUAAUACAUGCACUUAAGCUCGGACAAUCGUUGUAACAAACGAUACAGAAGAGCGCAAUUAUUAGAUUUCAAUAAAAGUUAUUUUAUUGGAUGACUCCGGAUAAUCCUAGUCGAGCGCAUAUGAUCUUAGUAUCAGCGCCAUAUUUCAUAAGAGACUGCCUUAUCAGCUUUCGAUUGUAAUUUAAAUGAUUACAAUGGCAAUAACGGGUAACGGGGAAUCAGGGUUCGAUUCCGGAGAGGGAGCCUGAAAAACGGCUACCACAUCUAAGGAAGGCAGCAGGCACGUAAAUUACCCACUCUCAGUUCGAGGAGGUAGUGACGAAAAAUACCGGUGACUUACUCUAAUAAGGGUUUUGUCACCUAAUUAUAAAAGGAAUGAGUUUAUUCUAAAAAUAUAUUCAAUUACCUAUUGGAGGGCAAGUCUGGUGCCAGCAGCCGCGGUAAUACCAGCUCCAAUAGCGUAUAUAAAAGUUGUUGCAGUUAAAAAGCUCCUAAUUGGAAUUUAUAAAAAGCUGAUACAUAAUCAAAUUAGACGAUGUAUCAUAUGUGAACUAUAUUAAUGCGAUUGAGUAAUUAGUAUGUCUUAGUGCAAACUUUGAUUGAAAAUUACUCUUAUUCGUAUGAUAUAAAGUAAUGUAUGGGUGAAGUCUUAAAAGAUUUAAUCGGUGUACAUAAUUUAAACGGAUAUCAACUCCAGAAGUUGAUAGUUUCGUUCAUUUUUCACUUUGAAAAAAUUAGAGUGUUCAAAGCCGAGCUAAAAUUGCUCGAAUGUUAUAUCAUUGUAUGAAAUAACAUGAUCUCGUUUAGACUUUUUUGUCUUCUUUUAUUGAUCUAAAAUGAGAUAAUGAUUAAAAGGAACAGCCGGUGGCAUUGGUAUUACGGCGCUAGAGGUGAAAUUCUUAGACCGUCGUAAGACUACCUACUGCGAAAGCAUUUGCCAAGAAUGUUUUCAUUAAUCAAGAACGAAAGUUAGAGGAUCGAAGGCGAUCAGAUACCGCCCUAGUUCUAACCAUAAACUAUGCCAACUAGCGAUCCGUCGGUGUCAUAUCCACGACUCGACGGGAAGCCCCUGGGAAACCUAAGUUU
Molecule: ribosomal RNA, 1215 nt
Filed under: Jaera albifrons
Lineage: Eukaryota; Metazoa; Arthropoda; Malacostraca; Isopoda; Janiridae
Description: SSU rRNA
Rfam family: Eukaryotic small subunit ribosomal RNA
Source: RNAcentral